CGGGGGGCAGCACCAGUGAGGAAUAUUGCGCAAUGGGGGAAACCCUGACGCAGCGACGCCGCGUGGAUGAUGAAGGCCUUAGGGUCGUAAAAUCCUGUCAGGUGGGAAGAAGUGGAUAUAGAUUAAUACUCUAUUUCUUUGACGGUACCACCAAAGGGAGCACCGGCUAACUCCGUGCCAGCAGCCGCGGUAAUACGGAGGGUGCAAACGUUGUUCGGAAUUACUGGGCGUAAAGCGCGCGUAGGCGGUUUGUUAAGUCAGAUGUGAAAGUCCAUGGCUCAACAAUGGAAGUGCAUUUGAAACUGGCAGACUUGAGUACUGGAGGGGGUGAUGGAAUUCCCGGUGUAGAGGUGAAAUUCGUAGAUAUCGGGAGGAAUACCGGUGGCGAAGGCGAUCACCUGGCCAGAUACUGACGCUGAGGUGCGAAAGCGUGGGGAGCAAACAGGAUUAGAUACCCCUGUAGUC
This 465-nucleotide ribosomal RNA is filed under the name uncultured bacterium. Its description in RNAcentral is "partial 16S ribosomal RNA". It matches the Rfam family "Bacterial small subunit ribosomal RNA", at positions 342 to 795 of the family's 1533-position model. The record is from RNAcentral.